This is a long non-coding RNA of Photinus pyralis (common eastern firefly), 401 nucleotides long. RefSeq lists it as uncharacterized. NCBI's taxonomy places the organism in Eukaryota, Metazoa, Arthropoda, Insecta, Coleoptera, Lampyridae. The record is from RefSeq and is a predicted model, not a curated record. The transcript is spliced from 2 exons.
AAUCUAUGAUGCAAGUAAGUCUUGUUUUUGAAGGCGACCUACAAUCGAAUUGAUGUAUUUUUCCAAUCGACCGGUCGAUUUCGUAUAUUUCGAUUACCUACCCAGUAGAGAUAUUAUUCCGCACACAAUCCAUACGAUUAUGCACAUUCCAACCGAACCGGCAUGGUUUAGAGCUGAUGCGGACGAUACAAAAAUUCCCGAUCCGAUUAUAACUCCCAAAAUCAUGUUGACAGCGGAGAAGAGUCCCAUCUCUCUCUUGAGUUGGACCGCCUUGGCACCGUUUCCAUUCUCCGUGGGACCAUUUUGGUCACCUGAAACCAAAAAAUAAUAAAAUCCUCCAUGUAAUUUUUAAAAUGGGAUCGUUGGCAAAUUUUUGAUUAUAAUAAAUUGCAUAAAUGUUA